Molecule: non-coding RNA, 137 nt
Organism: Fukomys damarensis (Damara mole-rat)
Lineage: Eukaryota; Metazoa; Chordata; Mammalia; Rodentia; Bathyergidae
Source: Ensembl
UGGCUCUGUUUCCUGGGAGUUAGACUCAGCCCUUUCUACCUCCCCUCAGCUGAGCCUAGAAAAGAGUGGCCAACUGUCCUGUCUGGGAGAGACAUUUAAGAAAGGAGCCUUGCCUGGACAGUUUCACCCUCACACUU